GGUACCGUUUCCUUUUCGCAGUGUCACAGGCUCCGUACUGAAAACAACUGCGUUUCAGUCCACCACACUUCUCACAGAUACUUCCAGGUGACCGUGUGCACACUCCUGUGUGUAUUUGGUUCUCCUCCGCUGCUCCUACACGCCACAGAGUCCUACAGCUCCCAGCAGGCCCCUCUGUUCACCGGCUCUUCAUCAGUCUUAAAGCCGGGGUCGGGUGUUCCUAGCUCGGCCGCUGAAGCAGCAUGGAGUCGCUGUGUGGUUGAUGGAUACGAAGGAGGAGGUGAAGUGUUGAGCCUGGAUGACACUUCUUCUACUGCAGAAUGUCAGUCACGAUGAACGGCACUCAGCAGAAUGAUACCAAGAGACAACACCUGCUGGAGAGGCUGCUGGAUGCUGUCAAACAGUGCCAAAUCCGCUUUGGAGGUAGAAAGGAGAUUGCCACAGACACAGACAGCAGGGUGAUCUGUUUGUGCGCACAGUUUGAAGCCGUUCUGCAGCACGGCCUCAGGAAAAGCAGAGGUCUCGCCCUGACCGCCGCCGCACUCAAGCAGGCUGCAGGCUUCAGCAGCAAAACAGAAGCAGCGGAGCUGACCUUCUGGUUCUAUGUGAAGGAGCAGCUGAAUCGUCACGAGCUCCAGAGAUUCUACUCCCUGCGGCACAUUUCCUCUGAGCUGGGUCGAGGUCGGGCCUGGCUGCGUUGUGCCCUCAAUGAGCACUCAUUGGAGCGCUACCUGCACAUGCUGCUGGCUGACCGCCCUCGUCUGGGAACCUAUUACGAAGACUGGGCAUUUAUUCUUGAUGAAGAAAGAGCUAGCAUGCUGCCCACCAUGGCUGCAGGCCUGAACUCUAUUUUGUUCGCCAUCAACAUCGACAACAAUGAUCUGAACGGCGGAGUGACUCGAGGAGGAGGCUCCUCUGUUUCCCACCUCCUCAAGGAGUCCACCCAAGGUAUUGGCAGCCUGUUGAAGGAGUCCACCCAGGGGGUCAGCAGUCUGCUCAGGGAGAUCAGCACAGCAACAGCAGUGGUGCCAGGUUUCACCCCCAAAGUGAACGCAGUCUCAGAUCCAUUGCCUGUUGUGCCCCGCAGCACCUCUGCUGACUCAGGGCUGAAGAAGGAGCGCCGCAGGAGGAAGAAGAUCACCAACAUCAUUUCAUUUGACGAUGACUUGGAAGGAGGUGCGGAGGAUGACGACGAAGCAGAGAAAGAGCAUCAGAAGAUGGCGAUGGUGAGGAGGAGUCACACCGCUCCUGCUCAGAGCAGUGUAGAAGAAGGCCUCGAUCCUCUGGAGCCCGCUUUGUCCCAGUCUCCAGCCCAGAAUGGAAUGCCUGAACCAGACAUUGUCAGCUGGGUGGGAUCUCCGCAUCCCUGUCGCACCCCGCCUUCAUCUGCACCUCCUUUGCCAGACAGGAAGAGUAUAGACAAUGAGGAGGAAGAGGAGGAGGAGGAAGAGGAGGAAAUGUACAAGCCUAUGCCACAAACCCAGGAGCAAGAGGAGAGGAACAGCCAUGAUCAGGUGGUGGUCGGAAGUCUGUCCAGUGUGUCCACGUGGAGCCCUCUACAGGUGAAGACUGAACACAGCAGUUCAGACAUCCUGAUACCUGUGAACUCUACAGACCAACAGCCAGUCAGCUCAGUGGAGGACACGGCUGCAUUUCCUGCUCACUGUGAGUCGUCAGGCCAGGUGGAGAACUGUGAGAGCAGCAGGUCUCAGGAGCUGACAUUCAACAUGGAGUCCAGUCCGCCCACACAACCUGCACCCAUCUCCAGUGUUCUGCCCACGUCUGCUCUGCCUGAGUCCAUGACAGUGGUGGAGCUGCGGCAGGCCAUCGUAGCCAUGAUGAACAGAAAGGACGAGUUGGAAGAACAAAACAUCUCUCUUCGCUCUCUGCUGGACGGGGAGAUGGAGCACUCAUCUGGCCUGAGGCAGGAAACUGACUUGCUGAAGAAGAAGCUGGCAGAGUUGGAGGAGAGACACUCGGCCAAGGUCCAGGCACUGGGAAGGGAGAAUGAGGUCCUGAAGGUCCAGCUGAAGAAAUAUGUGGGGGCGGUACAGAUGCUGAAGAGAGAGGGCAGCCAAGGCAAUGACGCCUCCUCAGUGCUGCAGCCCAGUGAGGAGCAGACCCCUCCCCCCCAGAAUAAAUGUAUGGGUGACAUCGAGGAACUGGCUGCCAGCUAUGAACGAAAACUCAUCGAGGUAGCUGAGAUGCAUGGCGAGCUGAUAGAGUUUAAUGAGCGUCUGUACCGAUCCCUGAUGUCCAAAGACCAUCUCAUUGUCCAAAUGAGACAGGAACUCAUUGACCUGCGAGGACCGGUUCCAGGUGACUUAAGUCAGACGUCGGACGAUCCCAGUUUGUCAGACUUUGAGACGGCUCAUCGUGCUCUCAUCAACGUGUGGAUCCCCUCUGUGUUCCUGCAGGGCCGUGCUGCCAACGCCUACCAUGUCUAUCAGGUGUACAUUCGUAUUCUGGACAACGAGUGGAACGUCUACAGACGCUACACAGAGUUCCGGGAGCUUCACAACGACCUGAGGAGAAGGUUCCCACAGGUGGACACCUUCAUCUUCCCACCCAAGAAAGCCUUAGGAAACAAGGAUGCCAAGUUUGUGGAGGAGAGGAGGAAGCAGCUGCAGGGCUACCUUCGCAUGGUGAUGAACAAAGUGAUCCAGGCGUUGCCAGAGUUCACCACACGGCCCAGCAAAGAGACCCUGCUGUCUCUGCUGCCCUUCUGCCUUGACACACCACAGGCCAACGAAAAUGUGUCCAAAACGCCACGGUCCAAGAACUCAUCCCGAUUUCCCAGACUGGGCCGCAGCCGCAACCAGGAAGCCAGACCAGAACCUCAGAGCGGAGACCUUUGAAAACUCCAGAGAUGACAAAAAAGUUUAAAGUCUGUAACCGUAAAGGCAGAAAAGGACAGUCUCCCAGAAUCCUCUUUGGAUUCACAGUGUGUGUCUGAGUGAGGACUGAACCAACACCUGAUGGACCUUUACAGCCUUUAGUCCAGCAGGAGGCAGUGAGCGUGUUCAAGGUCUGUUCUUCUGGAGGAGAAUGUGAUGGUGUUUCUGUGCAUUGGCUGACUGAGUGUGGGAUAAAUGACUCCCCCCAGGCUUCCUUUCAGUGGACCCAAUUAUACAGAACCUCUUACCUCACAGAGACACUGAAAGGCUCUAUAAGCUGCACACGGACAGACCUGGACCACUGUCUGUACUUAACUCAAACUGAAACCACGGGGAAGACAGUUUUUCUCUCUCCUCUCUGUCCAGUUUUUCUAGUCAAAGUCUGAUCACAGUCUCAGUGCCUGCAGUGUUUUGUCGCUGCAUCUUCUGCUAUGGCUGAAAGGAGUGAGAAACUUAGUGUUUUUUAUCAUUGUAUUUUUUUUUAUUAUUAUUAUUGUUGGGCUCAUGUGAGAUGAUUUGUGCCAUUAUUUUUUUAUACACAAGUUGAUUUAAAAGUACAAGGACUUCUCAUUUUUCAUUAUAUGUGUGUGUGUAUGUAUAUAUACAUACACACAUAUAUAUAUAUAUAUAUAUAUAUAUAUAUAUAAUAGCUGCAGCUCCUGAAAAGCAGAUAUUGUCAGACAAAUGUAGUAUAAUAUUUAAAAUUCCACCUUUAAUGACUUCUUGUGACCUAGAGCCUGGGUGGAUACUGUUAAAGUAGAAGGAGAAACAGACUGAAACAAAUGGAAGGCUUCAGACUCUGCCUGUAUUCAGGAUGUCAAACAGACUUAACCACAAACUUCCAUUCACUGAAUUUCCCCAAAACCAAAGCCACAGAAGUCACAGCAGCAACAUUAGAUCUACCCCUCCCCGCCCCCCCCAAGCUAAACCAGAAGAACAGCUCAAAAUAAAGAGUCCAUUUCUACACACAGUCUGACUGGACAGAGGCUCAGACCGCACACCGUCACAGACCUGAAACAAUCUGAAAAUUCAAACUUGUCGACAACAGUUAAAACAAUAUCCAGCACCAGUCUGGGUGACGAAAUAAUCCCUGACCCCGGGGCAGAAGAAGCUGUGGUUUAUGAAUCCCAAAAGUAAAAACCAACAUAUGAUGUAAAAAACUAACUGGGUGUAAUCACAGCUGUUGGUGGGAGACCAGGGGCUAACCCCAGCUAAUGCUAAAAUGAGCUAAAAUCAUUGUUUUGAGAAACAAACCAGUAAAUACAAACCUGUUUUUACACCUAGUUACACCAAGGGAGGCACGACCUCCACAGGUGGCUUUACCUCUUCUUCAUCUCCAGGCAUCAGGUGUGAGAAACUGUGGAGACUUGAAGCCUCAAUCACCACAAAACUUAAAAUAUUCCAUCUCUGUCUCCUGUGUUUAGUGUCAAAUUUACAGCUGCAUUUGCAUUGCCUUAGUUGUGCAGGAAGUUACUCUCUGUUACCAGUGGUAAUGAAGAGAAUUAGCUGGAAACUUGUCAAACUUGCCAACAGUGAAACCAGUCUGAGAGCCUACACUCUGAUUGGCCAGCCGGUGUUAUGGGGUGAUUGGUCAGUUUUGCAUAAUUUCUUGAUAGAAAAUGUAAACAUUCCAGCCUUUAACCUGAAAAACCAAGGCCAAAUUCUGAUGAACUUACAUCAUGUAGUGUUUUAACUUAAAACGCAGUAUGGCCAAUAGAGUGAGUUUGUAAAACCUGUUCUGGUGAGACUGAGCCUCAGUACAUGGAGAUGUUCACUACAGUCUGGAUAUCUGUUCAACUUAACAUGUCUGAGCUGGUCUUAAACGCAACAAACAUUUUGCUGCAAAUGUAUGUUUUUAAUGAUGACUUGAAGAGAAGCUGCUGUUUGGCCAAUGAGUGUCUAGUGUGUACUUCAGAAGCUCAUGCAUAUAUAUGAUAUAUUGUAGUAUGUAUUCCCCCUAGUGGUUGAAGACUAUGCUCACUCAUGGAACAAUCGUUCUAGAAGGUCUUAGAAAACUUGAAUUAAAUGGUUGAGUUGUGAAAAUGAUAAACGCUGUUCUCUGCCAAUGAAUGAACUAGGUUUUACAGACUGCAAACCUAAAGAAGAAAGAUCAGGAAGUUCCUACAAAGACAGUGUCAAAUAAAUGUGUUGUUUGUUUGUUUUUUGUUUGUUUGUUUUUUUCAACUUUACUGAGAUGAGUUUUGUGGCUAUUAUUUGUCUCUGGGUUGUGGCCUACAGAGCAGGAUUGGUAGUUUAGCCCAGAUCAUGGGGUGUGUUACAGCAGGGGUCUCCAACACGUUGCUUGCAAGCUACCAGUAGCUCACCACCCCUUUCUAAGUAGCUCGCCAGAGGGCUAAUGAAUCUCCAGUCAAGGGUUUCUGUAAGUCACUCCACGUCACACUCAUUAACGUUUUGGGCAGGAAUAUUUUAAUAUAUGUAGUUGCUCUUUUCAGCCAAUGGAGGGCAGACAUACGAUUUGUUCUCUACUGGCUGAAAUUAGCAACUGCACUCGUUUUGAUAGACGAGAGAACCAUUUUUUAAAAAAAGUAACCAAAUGUAACUUAAAUGAUGAUGAUUAGCACUUCAGUUGACUGUGUCUGUGGACGUUGCUGGUCUGGGUUAUAGAAGUUAUCUGGAUAGAAAUCGAGUGUGGACCAGGGAGCAGCUGAAGUGUUCUCCUGCCUCAAUAUCUGCACUGUGUUUAUUUCUGUCCUUGCCUGAGUCAGCAGGCAGCCCUUAUCUAUCAGUGUCGCACCAAAGAAGAAGAGGGACCAACUGUAAACUCGAGUGUGUGGUUGUGUGUGUCACUGCCAUUAUGCAACCUGGCUGCAAUAAUAAGCUUUUUAUGUGUGACUACGUGCCAUUGAACAUUAAUGCAUCCAUGCAUGUGCUAGGAACAUACAGUGGAGUGUUGAUGAGGUAAUUUAAAUGCAGUGGAGGGUAUAUAAAGAGAGGCGCGCGUGUGUGCGUGAAUGAACAGGUUGAUUCAGUUGUUAAUAAAGUUCUCUCUUGUAUGCUUUAUCUCAUGCGCAUGCGUAUGAUAGAAAAAACGCUGGAAUACACAAUCACGUAUCCAAGCCGUUAAAAUCAGUACACCCUUGGAAAGCGUCAGCAAUGGAAAAGUGGGAAAUAAUCUGGAGUCACCUCUCCACUGGAGUUUAUCCACCAGAGCCGACCUAAGGACACAGACAGGGUCUCAAGGGAUUUGCUAGAGGAACUAUUUCUUCAUGUGAAUAUUUAACACUGUAGGCUUUUCUUCUCUUGCACUCUCUCUCCCUCUGCCUUUGUACAGGGACAAACUGCAGGAGUGGAGACAACCGACACCCUGACUGUCUGUGGACCAGGAAACUUCUUUAAAGGAUGUGGCCACGUGGUUUCUGUACAUUGUUCAUCCAAGGCAAACGUCUUAAUUGCUUACUGUGACAACAAAACAGCCUGGGUUUUUACCUUUCCGUGGAAAACAUCAAGGAGACAGGAGCUGUGGUUUAAACAAGGCUCCCUCCUCUCUCCGUCUUCACAACCCAUCAGAUGCUGAAGUGUUCUCUGCUCCUCUCUGCUCUGCCCUGACUCUCACAGCUAUCACAGCCUUUCACCAUAACCCAUGGUGCUGGUUUCAUCUUCUGGAAGCUUGAUCUGAACACCUGCAAGUGCUGCUGGAACCACAGCAGGGGAGGGAGUGCGAGGUGAGGGCUGGUGAGAGGUAGUGAGGGUGAGGGUAUGACAUCACUGACAAUGAAGGCUGAUGAAAAAAGCCAAAAUUAAACAAGAAAAAACAAAUGUAAAGACCACUAAAAGUUAAAUUAGUGUAGUGUUAUAAAAAGGUUAGUAUCAAAAGUAGCUCCUGAUUAGCAUGGCAAUGGUAUAAAAUGGCUUUAGAGAAAUUACAGCUAAAUACAACGUAUCAAGGUGUUGCACAUGAAGCUUGUCUUCCAUCCUUCCUGACAAUCUUUUAUUUUUUUAAAGACUGAAACAUUGUCUGUGGUUUGCUCUGAGACAGAAACCACUGACCCUCAACACUGAUCCCUGUUAUUACCUCUGUUCUUCCUUCUUCUCUCGACACAUAGCCAGGGACCAUGAAAAGAAAGAGUAUAUUUAGGUAUGUAUAUACAGUACUCGGUUUCAGUUUUUGAACUUUUCUGUUCAUCGACGGCCUUUAGGAAUGAAUUCAGUUUGAAAACUGAAACAGUUUUCCCAUAGGAAUCAAUGUAAAAUGGAUGAAUCCGUUCCUGAACCCCAAAUGAUACUUAUUCAAACGUUUUCUACCUUUAUUUUGUGUAGUUAACACACAAUACCAACGAAAAUAAUUCGAUCUAACAAAAAAGAUAGACACAACUGACUAAAGAAUAAAGCUAUAUAUAUGAAUGUCAAAUUCAUUCGUCCUUAACUGAGCUGAGGAGUUGUGAUUGCGCCAUGUUCGCUUUGCUUUCUCACUAAUUGUUGUCUCCCAUAUACUGUCGCUGGCCAACGAUCAUUGAUCCAAAUCAGUAGAAACUUCUCCACUUCUAACGUCUUUGAUCUUUGCUUGAUGAUCACAGUCACUCCUUUGGCAACCUUAGCUUCUGUUAUUACUUCCUUGUUCCUAAUGAUGGUACAAAUUGACAACUUUGCUAAGCCGUACUGAACAGCCAGAUCUAAAACACGAGCACCAUUCUCAUGCUUUCGUAUAAUUUUUGUUCACUUCUGUUGUUUUUCAAUUUUUCUGUUCGUGAAGCAAAGUGUUUGAAAAGGAAGGUGUUCAACAACCUGGGUGUGUGUGUUGACUUUCCAUAUUUUUCAAAUUCAUUGCUGACUUUUCUGUACUGCUGUUGUUGAGAGUACGCUGCAACCAGAGAUUUUUAUUUAGUCAACACAGGUUUGACAAACAGGAGUAAAGCCUCAAUAAGAAAAGUCAAGAACACAGAAAACCACAAACCACAGAUAUCAAUAUCUUUUUGCCAAUUUUCAGUAAAAACUGGUUCAAGGUUGGUUUCUAUUAAACACACUUGGCAACCUUGAGAAGAUGAGGAAGGUAAAAGGGAGUAAAAGAACACAAAGAAACGGUAGAAAAAGAGAAGAGUGGGCAGAAAAAAAGAGUGAAAAUUGAGAUCAGGAGCGUGGACGAGGAGACACCACACACCUUCCCUCCUCACUGGGAAAUAGAUCACAGGGAGGUGUUGAAAUCUGAAGUUUUGCAGUUUAACACGUCGUGGCUGAUCCAUCAUGUGUGCGUUGAAGGAUGAUCACUGUCAUUUCUUCUCUGCAGGGGACACAGGUCGGUCCAUGGUGUAGAGGGAGGAUGAGCGAUGGAGGCGUCAAAGGUGAGAAACAUGAAGGUGCGGUUCCUCCUCUCCACCAUCACACACUCACUGACACCAGGGAACACGUUCCAGCAUCCACCUGAGGCCUUUCCUGAACCUUUAAAUGUCCUUUUCUGUAAAGUGCUGCUGUUAAAGGACGUCACUCAGGUGUGAAGAAUGACACGCUUUGAUGGCACUCAGUGGAAGAACUCGCACUGUUAGUCUUCUACAAGCAGACCUGACACAGAGAUCAGUUCAUGUCUGCGGCUCAGAGUAACUGGGAUUAUUUAAGGCCAAAGAACCGCAGGGAAAUGAGUCAAAAUGAAAUGGGUUUGGAUGACAGUAAAAAUGGCAGUGUCUCUUCACAGGUUUGAUCUUAGUUUUAUAUCUGCCACUUUUAAACAUUCUCAAUGACUUAUUGAUGAGUCAUUUUAUUAUUACUUAAUAUUUCAUUUUGUUAUGGCAAUAGGGAACAGUCUAACGAGUGACCCAGGGUGAUAUUUUACUUUGUUUAUACACAUGUAACUCAGCAUGAGAAUCCAAAUCAAUUGUUCAGUGGUAAAAAAAAAAAGAUUCUAAAAAAUAAAAACAAUAAAUGUCGGUCUAUUUACCUCCUGUUAUGAUCCCAGAGUCCAGUAUAAAGACUCAGAAAGCGUUUUUUGUUCAUGCAGGCAACUUGGAGGAUAAUUAGCAGCACAUGAAAGAAAACAGAUUGAAUCAUUAGUUCCAAAAAAGAAAAACAUUUGGAGUGAUCUUACGUCUGACUAAAUUGGCAUAAAAUUUAGUCAAAAGUUCUGAAAUGGGCUGCAGAAGAAGAAGCAGGUCAGGAGUUACCUGACCUGAGGUUUCAGAUCACGAUCCAAAGGUUUAGCACCUGCAGCAUGUUCACGAGCCACUGUGACCGAAUUGUUACUGACUGUUAGCGUCUUGGUACAGGGUGUGUGUUUUCGCACUGGCAGCAGCGUGCACCUAGGUGACAGACGUUCCUCUGAGGAGAACAGUGUGGCAGAACUUUCGUACCCACUGAGUCAUGAGAGGAAUCCUUGUGAUUUAGCACCGUGAAAGACGACAUGCUAAGCUGCUAAACAUCGCACUCUGUGUUCUGUUCUGAAGCUUUGCUGCUCGCCUACACCAGGCUUCCCUCACAUGCUGCAAGUGUUGAUCCGCUGAUAGAAGUGUGUGUGUCUGUGUGUGUGUUUGUUCAUCGGGUUGUUUUUUUUUUUGCACCAUCUUUUAUGCAAUUUAAUUGUCUGUGCAGGAUUGUCCACUCUGUUGGGAAUUUCAAUAUUGUUUUCUCAUGUGCAAAGAUGGUAUGUAUGUACAGUAUCUGUGUGUGUGUGUUUGUUGAACACAGUGGUGACAUCACACCAUCUCAGGUCAGUCUGGCUGAUUGCCUUGUUUUCACAGGUUAUCCCCACAUUUGCUACUAUUUCCAUCGAGUGUGAUCACAGCUGACAGAAACAGUUCUCUUCUGUUAGAGCUCCACCAUGUGAAGGAACACAUUUUGACAACUUAACAAUGUUUUAAUUGUGAAACUUUUAUCCUAAAUGUGACUUCUCCAGCACACCGAACUUUUCAUAACCCAGAAAAAUUAUAAUGCACAACAUGGGGUCAGAAAAGCUCAAUGGGGCUUGCAUUACCUUGUUGUCUCCGACUAAUGUUUGGUAACAGUGACAUUAGCAAUUAGCAUUAAAUAAUUAGCUUUUAGCCGUGUAUACAGUGGUGUGUGUAACGUGUUUUCCAUGCAGUUGUCUUUUAUUAGUAAGACAUUACUGGAUGUAGAGCCGUCAAAAUCAUCAAUACAAUGAAUAUAGAUCAAUAUAAACACUGAAAUAUGAAAAUAGAUAAAAACCCAAAUAUUUCACAUCUGAAGAACUGUUAAACAUGAGUAAAAAUAGUUUUGCUUAAAAAGUAACCAGAUUUGUGGUAGUGUUUAAUGAUGCUUGCUUUCCUGUGUGAACUAAACCCCCCUUAAUAUGGUAUGAGGCUGAUCAGAUGUUAAUGUGUGAAUGAUGGCAUUUACUUUGUGUGUCUGUGUGAGCGAGAGACAGAGACGCUCCCAGCCACGUCCUCAGAGACCGGGGUGUGUUGACAGUGCAUUUAAGGAGCUUUUAACUCAAUAUACUCUUCAAACCCCAUGGCAACAAAGCCUUUUAUAUUCCUCUGCAUAUUGCCAUGGCAACACUGAUGUUCAUUAAAUUUCAGUCUCUUUGAAGAUAUUACAACAAAAUGAAAGGAAAAAAAGAUUGGAGCAAUUGAGCAGACGUCAGGUUACUGGAGACAGAAGUUUCAGAGAUGCUUAUUUAUCUGCACAGAACCACAAAAUGCACAAGAGCUGCAGAGAUGACGUGGUCAAAGCAGCUAAAAGGCUAACUAUUGAGUUCCUCUGGGUUAGAUACAUUUCUCUGGCUCUCUUCUCUUACUGUGUGUGUGUUGGUGUUCUUAUGUGUGGGACCUAUUUAGCACCAUUUCUGGUUUUGUAACGGUUUAAGGUUUAGGAAUAGACAGUAACUGGAAGUGAUCAGAGUACAGGCUGAUACUUCUAUUAUUUAGAAAUGUGUUGCCUUGUGAAACCAGCUGCCAUUAAACAUAAGAGAGACGUCUCCACUUCCUGUUUUGAAGCCACAUUUGAAAACACUUUUAUUUUCUGUUGCCAUAAACACCGUGUGAGUGGAUUUUAUUGUUUUUUUAACAAGUGUUAUUUAAUACUAAUAACUGAUAAUUAUUUUAUUCCUUUUUAGCCCUCACCUGUUGUUUUAUUCCCUGUAUUUACGGUUGUUUUUAUGUCCUAUUUUUACUGCACAGACCUGUGGUUCAACUUUGCUGUUUGUUUUUAAAUGUGCUCCUUAAACAAAUUGGGACUUGGA
RNA transcript from Cynoglossus semilaevis (tongue sole), 11040 nucleotides. It is a transcript of the gene named sorting nexin 29, with no coding region annotated. The record is from RefSeq and is a predicted model, not a curated record. The transcript has 24 exons. NCBI's taxonomy places the organism in Eukaryota, Metazoa, Chordata, Actinopteri, Pleuronectiformes, Cynoglossidae.